Molecule: ribosomal RNA, 405 nt
Filed under: Enterobacter sp. COS220
Lineage: Bacteria; Pseudomonadati; Pseudomonadota; Gammaproteobacteria; Enterobacterales; Enterobacteriaceae
Description: bacterial SSU rRNA
Rfam family: Bacterial small subunit ribosomal RNA
Source: RNAcentral
GUUUACGACUUAGCAGAGAUGCUUUGGUGCCUUCGGGAACUCUGAGACAGGUGCUGCAUGGCUGUCGUCAGCUCGUGUUGUGAAAUGUUGGGUUAAGUCCCGCAACGAGCGCAACCCUUAUCCUUUGUUGCCAGCGGUUCGGCCGGGAACUCAAAGGAGACUGCCAGUGAUAAACUGGAGGAAGGUGGGGAUGACGUCAAGUCAUCAUGGCCCUUACGAGUAGGGCUACACACGUGCUACAAUGGCGCAUACAAAGAGAAGCGACCUCGCGAGAGCAAGCGGACCUCAUAAAGUGCGUCGUAGUCCGGAUUGGAGUCUGCAACUCGACUCCAUGAAGUCGGAAUCGCUAGUAAUCGUAGAUCAGAAUGCUACGGUGAAUACGUUCCCGGGUCUUGUACACACCGA